GAUGAACGCUGGCGGCGUGCCUAAUACAUGCAAGUCGAGCGACCAGACGAGGAGCUUGCUCCUCUGACGUUAGCGGCGGACGGGUGAGUAACACGUGGAUAAGCUACCUAUCAGACUGGGAUAACUUCGGGAAACCGGUGCUAAUACCGGAUAAUAUAUUGAACCGCAUGGUUCAAUAGUGAAAGACGGUUUUGCUGUCACUUAUAGAUGGAUCCGCGCCGCAUUAGCUAGUUGGUAAGGUAACGGCUUACCAAGGCAACGAUGCGUAGCCGACCUGAGAGGGUGAUCGGCCACACUGGAACUGAGACACGGUCCAGACUCCUACGGGAGGCAGCAGUAGGGAAUCUUCCGCAAUGGGCGAAAGCCUGACGGAGCCACGCCGCGUGAGUGAUGAAGGUCUUCGGAUCGUAAAACUCUUUUAUUAGGGAAGAACAAAUGCAUAAGUAUCUAUGCACGUCUUGACGGUACCUAAUCAGAAAGCCACGGCUAACUACGUG
RNAcentral lists this ribosomal RNA (497 nucleotides) under uncultured bacterium. Its description in RNAcentral is "partial 16S ribosomal RNA". It matches the Rfam family "Bacterial small subunit ribosomal RNA", at positions 28 to 507 of the family's 1533-position model. The record is from RNAcentral.